Small nucleolar RNA from Pteropus vampyrus (large flying fox), 261 nucleotides. Ensembl annotates it as small Cajal body-specific RNA 6. Lineage: Eukaryota; Metazoa; Chordata; Mammalia; Chiroptera; Pteropodidae. The record is from Ensembl.
GGUCGAUGAUGAGUAGUAAAAGGGCUGAGUCCCCAGGUCCCCUCCCAGAUCCUCACCAUCCCCGGCAGCCUCGCUCCCAUCAGGCUCCAGUAGUGCCAUGAUGGGCACAAGGACAGCUGACACUCGGUGAUGUCUCCAGUCUGUGUUCCCUGGUGAGCCCAGGGAGGACGUGAGGUUGGCAUCCAACAGCCAGUCAGGAAGGGGUGUGAUUGCUGGGAGUGCUGGGACCUGUGGUUAUGAUCUGGCUUUCAAGCUGAGACC